AGAACAGGCACUGAGCUGUGGGUUCUCUGGAUGACAGAAUAGUCUUUUCCACAUUAACUUAACCGUUCUCCCUCCCCAGAUUUAUUCUGAAGGUUCAAUGGACCCCUAAAAAAUAUGAAAUACUGCAUUUUAAGGGACAUUAAAGGUAUGUAAUUUUGAUUAAUUUACACUGUAGCCAGUUAUGUGAGAACUAUUUGAUGUCCAAUGAGCCUUUGAAAAGUCUUAAAGUUUUUUCUGAAAUUUUAACAUUACAUUUGUUGAGGAAAACUAACUCAAACACUUUAAGAUCAAUUUCUUCUUGGGAACUGUAUUUCUUUGCUCACUAAAGGGUCUGCACGCCUAUCUUUGCAGUUAUAGAAGCUGCAAGAAUUGAACACUGAGAAUUGAGAGGGGAGAGAAAUUCUGUUGUACGUUCCCACAUCCUGUUCUUGAGGGGCUGUGGCAGGUUUGGAAGGGCAACAGUGUGAACACAGAUUGAAUUAAAUACACUGGUGUCAGGGUGGGGUCGGGCAAAGGCAGGAUCUAGUCAGCAUGAGUCUGGAUAGGCAGGAUUUCUGGACGGAGGUCUAUGGGACCAGAGUUUUUGCGGAGCAAUGGGUAGAGGUUGAGCCUGGUGGAGCUUGGAGUCAAGCUCUGGGUGUGGAGGUCUGAGGCUCCCUUGUGGGAACAGGAGCUCCUGCUGCCCUGUUACUGUGGGGAGCUCACGUCUUCCUCCACCCCUCUAUUUCUGAGAUGGGACUUUUGAAAGGGCCAGGCAUAGAAAAAGGCACAACUCUAGAUCUUGUGGGAGUGUCCAAGUCUUUAUUUAUGGUGCAUUAUUCAUUGUCUGUGGGGAUGACCACACCGCUUGUGAAACUGCGGCUCCUCGGGAGCUGAUCCUGCAGUUGCCUCUCUCUUUAGCAUUCCACCUUCUGCGGUCUAAUGCUUUCUGGGAACAAGGAGAGAGGACAGUGGCAGCAAGCCCUUUUCCUCUUUCCAUCUAGGUCCCCCCAGGCAGGAGAUUAAGAUAUGGGCUCAGUGAGAUAUCAGAUCAUUGAAGUUAGAUGGCACAGGGCCAUUGGUAAAAGCCCGAGGCCUGCCUCCUACAUCUCUCAGGCUAGAUAGUCUGGACUGUAAAUUUUUAUAUGGUUUUCGUUUAUAUAGUUUAGAGAGUAAGAUCAGAAAUUACGGAGCCAGUUUUCUCCAACCACUUGUGACUGUGCCCUUGGGCAUGCUAUUUUACCUCUCUGUUCCUCAGCUUCUUAAACUUUAAAGUGGGCACACAGUAGUGUAAAAGCAAACACACAGUAGUUUCAGCUAUUGUAUUUAUUGCACCAACAGCUGUGGGUGCAGUUCCAUGUCUCAGCUGACAGAGGUGAGGAAGUCUUCCCGAAAUAUGACUACAGGUAGAGGCUGUUGGGAAAGCCGUGCUUUGAGGCCUGUGUGGUAAAUCAGGUGCAUUAGAUUAAUUACCUAAUCUGUGGUAGAUGAAGGCUGAGCACCUGUUUCCUCCUUUGGUUGCAUCUUCCUGGACUGUAGCGGCUGCAGAGCCGAAAACUACGUUUCCCAGAUACCCUUCUGCCUGAGUUUCUGGAUGCAAAUUGGCCUCACCAAUCAGAUUCUCUUAGGUACGGACUGCAAGUCAGAACAGAGAAGGAGGUGUCCUCCUGCUGGCAGGCUCUGCGGUGGGGAAGGAGGGUCUUUCUGUAGCCCUGUGCAGUGUCUGGCCACCAGCUUGGGUGGGUAUAGAAGGCAGUUGUCUCUGGAUUCCUGCCUUCCUGACUGGGCCAUCCCUCUGGAUGGCUCUGCAGGGUUGCUGGGGGUCCUUCCUGGAGACUCAGCCCAGAGGUCACUCCUCCUUUCAGUGUCAUUAGCACCCAAUCUUUACACUCCCUUCUGCAGGGUAGGCAGUAAUUUCUGCUUUUUACAACAUAACCUUGAUAACCUUGAUAUUUAAGUCUAUGGAAAGCUAAAGGACUUUUCUGAGGCAAUCUUUUCUGAUUUUCCAAGGCAGGUAGGUCACACUCCUUAGCUGUACAGUCUCAUUGGAUUCCCCACUUGCUAGAACUUUCCUAGGCUUCCUCAUUUAUCAGCUCAUGCUAUGAGGACUCUUAGUCCUUGUAAGGUGUGUCUAGGGAUUUUCCUGUGUCUCACUUAAUAGAUUUUUCUCAGGUUGACUACAGGAGGGAGAUUUGACUAUCAAUAGUGGUAUUGGUGAGCCCAGUAACUAUGUGAUGGGACCUGGAUAUGAUGCAAUCAGUCAGUCUGACAAUGGGGAGAUUAAGGUCCAAUUGUUCUGCAGAUACCACACCUGGCAUCCUGUCUAAUGUAGACUCUCUCUGUUAGGUGCACAAGUGAACUUAUAGCAUGGCAAAUGAGAAAUUAUUUCAGUUGGGCCCAUAGUUUUGUCUGCAUAUGUUAAUAAGAUAUUUGAUUCAAUGUCAACUUAGAUCUUGAGAGGUAGAAAAGAGAUUCUGCCAGAAGGUCAAAUGAGCUGAUAUCUAUGAUUGCAAAUCCAGCUGAGGAUGAAAAUACUGGAUGAAAUGUGAAAGGUAACUCCCAUUGUGGGGAUCUUGUAUAACAGAACAAGGUGGGCACAGCUGUGUGGGUUCGUUGCUGGCUUGGAUAAGCUGAUGCUCAAUGCCGAGAGGAUGGUUCUUUCUCCACAGUGCAUGUCAGUGGUAAGUUCAGUAGUUCAAUUGCACAAGCUAAGCAAUUAGCACAUAUUUUUUAGAAGUUAUUUUUGUUUAUUUUCAUUUUUAAACGUCUAUUUCUGAAUAUGCAAAAUCUAAGCUCAGUGGAAGUAACUUGCAUAAAACAGACACCCCCAUAAGUGUUAAAAAACCAACCACGGGUCCUAGAGGAGGGAAGGUUGAAGGUGGAGAACUGUGGUAUGAAAUUCAGGGAGAAUCUCCACAAAGUUCCAGGUGCUGUGUGCUCCUUGUUGGAGAACAGAUGAGUGUUUUCAGGAGACAGGGAGGAUUUAGUGCCCAAGAAUUGCAGUCGGGCACAGUGGGGUGUGGUGGGGAGUUGCCAGGACCAGGCUUAGCUGAGGGCAGGAGAGACUGCUGGAAACCAUAGCUAUGAGCAUAUCCCGUUGAACAGCAAGUUUUGGUGCAUGUGGCCAGCCAGCAGGAGAGAGGGCCAGGGAGCAGUGAGGCGGACUCUGGAAGCUGCAGGGAGGCGGGCUCUGGAAGCUGCAGCGAGGCGGGCUCUGGAAGCUGAGGUGGCUCCACAUUCUGCUGUCUGUGCCCUACCAUUUUUAUUUGAGCCAGUUUAAUUUUUUUUCAACUAAGUCUCCCUCCCUAUCUUCUUCCUCCUUCUCUCCCUUUCUUCUCUUCCUUACCCUUUUUCUUCUGACCUCCAUUUAGUUUUAAUUCUUUUUUUUUUUAAAGUUGCAUAUGUAUAGUGUGAAGAAUUAAAUAAUUCCAUAGGGUCUGUUGUGCAGAAUAGUAAUCUGCUAUCCUCCUCUUCCAUUACAUCUUUUCCAGAGGAAAUAUAAUAGCUUUAAACUUUACUGCCUUUUUUUUCUUUUUUUUGGUGUUUGCCUCUAUAUUUUAAAAUAGCGUGCUUUUAUUGCUACUUUUCAAGAAAUUUUCAAUUUCAGGCAUUAUUUAUGGAAGCGAGGGCUUUCCUUUCUUUCCUCCUCCCUCUGCCACAAGCAUCCUCCCCAUUGGUUACACUUUUGGUUAGAUCAAUAUUCAUUGUUUUCAUUUAUUUUGACUUUUGUAACUGUCACUCAGUGCUGAGCCUGUGGCAAAUUAUGAUUGCUUUUCCUUUCCUAUAUGACUUUUUGUCUUUUCUGGACUAAUAGCUGUUUUUUUCAUUGUUUAUGUCUGUAUGUUUUGAUUACUAAUUUAACUCCAAACUCCCUGCUAGUUGUCCAAAUCUCCUUUCUCAAAUUUCCCAGACAUUAGGUGUUCUGAGACUUCUGUCUUCUUGAGUAAACCUUUUCCAGAAACUUUGGGCCUGAUUCAAUGCAGGGUUCUUGCUUUCAGGCCCCACGCUCAGCUGUAUGUUCCUGGACUUUCCCUCCACCAUCACUGUAGGGAUUCCCUUCUCACUUUGCUCCUCUGUUUCCUUGCUUGAGCCUUCCUCUGAUUUCGAAUACCUCCUUGUUUUGGGGAUGCACCUCCUCCAGGAGCUUGCUGGUACAGAAUGCAUGGGACUCUAUCUGUCAGGAUUCAGAGGGCAAGCUCUAGUAAGAAACUUCAAGAAGCAUUUAAUAAAGGGAUGGUUUACAAAGAUGUGGAAGGCUGAAGAAACUUGGGGCCAGUACGAGCAAAAGUCUUUUUCCAUACCUAGGUUUGGGGUCAUGGGAAGGAAGCAGUUACUGGGAUCUGCAGACAAAAAUAUAUUUGAAGGUAGCAAUCAACCCACAUUGGUCUUGCGGGAAUUUUCUCAUUUUGCUCAUUUUGGAACUCCUACCAGACAAUGAUCAUCCUGCACUGAUGGCCUUUUCUUCUUUAUUUUAUAUAAUUUAGAAAUUUUGCCCUAUUUCCUGUGAGGUUUAUUCAGUUCUUUUUUCUAAACUUCUAUAGUUUCUUGUGGGGAGGCAACAUUUUACUAUCGUAUUUUACAUUUCCAAGAGCUUGCUUCAGUCCUCUCAAUGUUCAUUUUUAAUAACAUCUUGUUCUUGUUUCAUGAUUGCACUAUUUCCUCUUACUUUUCUGAGCAUAGUAAUAAUCUUUUUGAGGGAAACAUUGUAUUCUCUCUAAAUAGUUUUUCUAUAGUAUCCUCCAAAAUGUGUUUAGCAUGCUUUUGUGUUUAUUUUUUCUUUCCUUCAGGUCAGUGAUGUUUUUUUCAGAUGGUUAGAUUUCCUUGUAUCUCUGGUCGUAUUUAAAAGUAGAAGAUGAAGAAGCUGAUUGGAAGCCCUGAGCACAUUUGUGGGUUGCUAUAUGGGCUCUGAUGUAGGAUGAUCUGGUUGAGCCAUUGUACUGGGGAAUCCUUGAUGGUUAUACUGGUUAUACUGGUUGUACUGGGGAAUCCUUGAUGUUAGUGACUUUUGUCUCUUCUCUUGGGCGGAACAGAGUCCUCAGAGAAAACCUUACAAUCUUCUGCAGAGGGUGAACGUCUAGCAAUGAUCUGGGAACUAAAGGGAAGAAGAUUGCUGGGGUCGAAGGAGGGCCUCAGCAUCCAGGAUCCAGUUUCACUUCAUCUUCCCUUUUCAACAUAACCAUCUCUGACGACAUCUUGAACAUUUACAUUUAUCUUCUCAAAUGACUAGCCUUCCAUUUUCUUGCUAGAGUGUGGAUCUGGAAGUCUAUCUGUUUUUAAAGUGGCUACCAAGCCGUCCUUCACCUUCAUUCUACUUCCAGCACCUCAGGGUUCCCUGCUGAACCUCUGGGAAUCUCAUGGCUCAAAUCCAACUGGCCACUGGCUUCCUUACUGCUGGUUGAGUGAGGAGUCAUCUUUCUUUGGUCCACCAAGUCAGUUACCACCUGCCUUUCUGCCUUCUAAUUAUGGUUUCUUUGAUCUUUCUCCAUAUCCUUACAGGUCUAGGACCUAAAAAAAUUACUUUUAUGGUGUGUUAGUGGAGUUCUGUGAGGGUGUGUAGAGCUAAAUGUUGAAAUUUUAGUCUCUUUCCUAAGGCAAUUCCCCAUUCCUAGAAGAAGACAGCUACAUGGUCCCUCACCAGAAAGGCUGCUUUCUCCUGUAUGAAUUGGGCUCCAGCUGGAGAUUGGCUGGUCUGUGGGCUGGUGAAAAAUCAGGCUUUUAUUCAUGGCUGUGUUGUUCCUCUGAAGCUCAUUUUGCCUUCUGGAGACCCAGCAACAGGGCCAUGUUCUGAACAAUGGUGCUGUCUUUUCCUUUUUGCAGUACACUAUCCUCCAUUUCUGUGACCGCAUGCAACUCUAGCCAGUCCCUAGCUCAGAUAACCUGAAUGGAGGCCACACCUCCCUGAGGUCCCUGGGGCUCAUUUUCUGAAGGGCAUCACCGGGACUGGAACUCCCAGAUCAUCUCCUAUGUCCCAUCCUGUGCCCCAGUCUUUUAAUGAACCUUCAGAUGAUAUAUUUAAGAGAUUUAAUCAUGGAUUACUGCAUUAUACCAUAAAACCUUUUUGCUUCCAUGCAGUAACUUUCUGAUGCCUGUAGCUCUACGAGUAACAAAGAUGGUAUAUUCAGGCAGUAUUUUUGUCUGUGAGGUUUCCCGCAAGUAUCUCUGUUUAGCCAACCCAGGGACAACAUCCUGUGGCUUUGUUUUCCUUUGGGAGCUAAACUGGCUCAUUUUAUCAGGGGUGAAGCAAGAUAAACCUUAGGAAUAAAUAGUUUUGUGUCAAAAGUUGCUGCCUUGAAAAUUUGUUUCCACAGGGUGUCAAUGUGCUGAUAUUCCAAUCUUGCAGAAAUCGACUGGAUUUAGUGGAAUUAAAGUCAACUGGAAGACGAUCUGUGGGGAUAAUUCCAUGAUUCAAAGCCUUCAGGGAAAACGUGUUUGCUCAGCUGCAGUGAUUGAAAAAUUGAAGGCAAUGAGAGUCAUAUGUUAUGCUUGGUUAUGUCCUGCUCUGAUGCCAGUUUGGAGUAAAGGCUGAACUUUGCUGUUGAAAGCCACUGUGGAAAGUGGAAACAUUGACUGUGCGUUGCUGAGGGGAGGAAUGUAUUUACUUACCCAGAAAUAGACGCAUCCUUGUCUCAGUGGGCUGGGAGAUAGUAUCAAUCCUUUCUGUUGCAACAGAUCCCACUGCCUUCUUUUUUCAAAAGAGUAAAUAUUUAAAUAGGUAAUACAGAAAAGUUAUUGCCAUUUUUCCUUCAUCAGCCAUGGCUGGGAGUCAAAAGAGAGAGUGAGGCAGAACUCACACAUGGGGAAAUAAUAUUGUGGACGUUAUAUAUAAUCCUUUUAAAGUAACGGCAUUAGACUUCGUGAUUUGCAAUUGGCCAAAUUGAGAAAACUUUUCUCAAAAAGCCAUUUUAAGAUAAAAAAUUAUGAAUUUUCUUAAGCCCUGUGAUUAGAGUGUAACACGUAUUUAUGGUCCCCCCAGGCACCACCCAAUAAAAAUGGUUAAAACCUUUAGUACUUUUAGUAGUUCACAGUUUUAUGGCCAAAGUUAUUUUGUAGAUUUUAUGCUUAAAGCAAGGUCAAUGUAUUGCACUGUAUAAAUUAUUCUAAGUAAUUGCUCAGUUAUUUUAUAGCUUAGUCACAGGAUUUUUUCAUUAUUAAACGUAGCCUUUUCUUUAAAGUUAGGAUGAGAAGGGCACGAUAAAUCACAGAGCAGCUUGCCAUUGGGGUUUCAGCUUUACCUGUGAUAAGGGUUUAAUAACAAUCUGGCCCAGACACCAGCUCCCUCUCAAUUACCUUUCCACAUGGGCAUUAGUUCACACUGUUUAUUAAAAACUCCCCUUGUAGUUCUUAAAUGGAGUGUUUCAGAUUAAUGGCCCCCACGGAGUUUAACUUCAUUGCACUUCAUUAAAGCUAGAUUGUACAAAAGGUUACUUCAAUUAAAUCCAGAAUGCGACCUUAAAUCUGUAUAGAUUUUUUUCAGAAAAUGUGAUAAAAUUGCUCUGCCAAUCCUUCAAGAUUAACAAGACAAAAUCCCUUUCAGUAACCAAAGUACAAAAAUUUGUGUGCCUGUUCUGAGUUUUCCUCUGGCUGUACAACUGGAUUUUAUAGAAUUAGAGGACAACUCGUGGAAAGAGCCUGGAGUUACAAAUGGAUCAAGUUACCGGAGAGCUGAGCCCCAGUGUGAGGCUGGAGAGUUUGGGAGACCUUUUGUUCCCCUUGAGUGGAUGCUGUACAUUUGGUGCUUUAGAAAAAAAAAUAUUUUGCUUCCCAUAUAAUAAAAAUAUUUUUCUAAAUA
This is a long non-coding RNA of Homo sapiens (human), 7768 nucleotides long. RefSeq lists it as uncharacterized. The transcript has 2 exons. Lineage: Eukaryota; Metazoa; Chordata; Mammalia; Primates; Hominidae. The record is from RefSeq and is a predicted model, not a curated record.